Molecule: unclassified non-coding RNA, 85 nt
Filed under: Pseudomonas helmanticensis
Lineage: Bacteria; Pseudomonadati; Pseudomonadota; Gammaproteobacteria; Pseudomonadales; Pseudomonadaceae
Source: RNAcentral
UGUAGGAGCUGCCGAAGGCUGCGAUCUGUUGAUCUUGUUGUUUACAAACAGCAUCAACAGAUCGCAGCCUUCGGCAGCUCCUACA